UUGGAGGGCAAGUCUGGUGCCAGCAGCCGCGGUAAUUCCAGCUCCAAUAGCGUAUAUUAAAGUUGUUGCAGUUAAAAAGCUCGUAGUUGAAUUUCGGGAUCAAUUUAUCGGUCGUGCCUAUGGUAUGAACUGGUACAAUUGGUUUCUCCCUUCUGACGAAGCAUGAUGUCAUUAAUUUGGUGUCGUGGGGAAUCAGGACUGUUACUUUGAAAAAAUUAGAGUGUUUAAAGCAAGCAUUAGCUUGAAUACAUUAGCAUGGAAUAAUGAAAUAGGACGUUUGAUCCUAUUUCGUUGGUUUCUAGGAUCGACGUAAUGAUUAAUAGGGAUAGUUGGGGGCAUUAGUAUUCAAUUGUCAGAGGUGAAAUUCUUGGAUUUAUUGAAGACUAACUACUGCGAAAGCAUUUGCCAAGGAUGUUUUCAUUAAUCAAGAACGAAAGUUAGGGGAUCGAAGACGAUCAGAUACCGUCGUAGUCUUAACCAUAAACUAUGCCGACUAGGGAUCGGAUGAUGUUAAUUUGUUAAUGACUCAUUCGGCGCCUUACGGGAAAC
RNAcentral lists this ribosomal RNA (549 nucleotides) under uncultured Glomeromycotina. Its description in RNAcentral is "SSU rRNA". It matches the Rfam family "Eukaryotic small subunit ribosomal RNA", at positions 548 to 1098 of the family's 1831-position model. The record is from RNAcentral. Lineage: Eukaryota; Fungi; Glomeromycota.